RNAcentral lists this non-coding RNA (29 nucleotides) under Rattus norvegicus (Norway rat). The record is from RNAcentral. Lineage: Eukaryota; Metazoa; Chordata; Mammalia; Rodentia; Muridae.
UGAUACAGAAACUUUAAUUUCCCAAACUC